This 609-nucleotide ribosomal RNA is filed under the name uncultured bacterium. RNAcentral describes it as "bacterial SSU rRNA". It matches the Rfam family "Bacterial small subunit ribosomal RNA", at positions 338 to 950 of the family's 1533-position model. The record is from RNAcentral.
CCUACGGGAGGCAGCAGUAAGGAAUAUUGGUCAAUGGAGGCAACUCUGAACCAGCCAUGCCGCGUGCAGGAAGAAGGCCCUAUGGGUCGUAAACUGCUUUUGUACCAGAGAAAACCCGAGUACGUGUACUCGGUUGAUAGUAUGGUAAGAAUAAGCAUCGGCUAACUUCGUGUCCAGCAGCCGCGGUAAGACGAAGGAUGCAAGCGUUAUCCGGAUUCAUUGGGUUUAAAGGGUGCGUAGGCGGACUGAUAAGUCAGUGGUGAAAUCUCUCAGCUUAACUGAGAAACUGCCAUUGAUACUGUUAGUCUAGAGUAUAGAUGACGUUGGCGGAAUAUGACAUGUAGUGGUGAAAUACUUAGAUAUGUCAUAGAACACCGAUUGCGAAGGCAGCUAACGAAACUAUAACUGACGCUGAGGCACGAAAGUGCGGGGAUCAAACAGGAUUAGAUACCCUGGUAGUCCGCACCGUAACGAUGAUUACUCGUUGUUGGCAAUAUGACCGUCAGCGACCAAGCGAAGCGAUAGUAAUCCACCUGGGGAGUACGCCGGCACGGUUGAAACUCGAAANAGAGUAGAGNGNGAGAGNGCGAGGACGACACGAGGGAGAGG